UUGUUUGUUUGUUUGUUUGUUUGUUUCCACUCCUCUACUUCCACUCCCACCUUAAAUGCGGAUGUGUGAGGCAGUUGUGCCGCUGUUUUGCCCCAGUAAAUUGCCUCCCUGCUCUUUCUCCCUCUCCCUUCCCACCCUCUCCGUCUCUGUCCACGAUCCCUUUCUUUGCUUCCACUCUGUAAAAGUCACCAUGGCUGAUCCCUGUAUAAAUUUCACAAAUAAAAACAGUCCCUCUCAGAAGAUGGUAUCGUAUUCAUUCACAGGCCGUGGCCGUAAAUCUCAAUCCUAACAUGUGAAAAAUCUCCACAUGAAUAACUGGGCUCCGGGUGCAGCGUGACCCCGCCGUCUGAACAAUGGGCCCUCGUGUGCUCCGCAGCUUAGCAGAAGGCCAGGAAUUUCUGUUUGGAAGUGAUCGCUACUGUCUAUAUAAUAUUUAGGGGGGGGGGGGUGCUAGCGAAGCAACUGGCAGGGAAUGAAAGGGCUUCCUCUGCUGUGCAUCUGCUGGAGAAGGAUGUGGGCUUGUGCCGGCUCCUCCUUUCUGCGCUCUUUGCAAAUAGCACAACAUAGGAGACAGUUGUUUCUGGCUGCCCCUCUGCCUGUCAUGGCUGUCAGGAGAAAUCCCAUGAAUUAUGGCUUCUCCAGAUGUAAGGGAUCUCUAAGCUGCCUUCAACAGCCUGUGGUUUGUGGUAGACGACGAGAAAAGAGAGAGAGAUUGAGAGUGAGAGACAGAAAGACUGAGAGCGAGAGAGAGAGAAAAGCAAUUCUGUUGUCUGAAGAAAAAGAAGAAGAAGUCUAAACACACUUAGUUUUUUUUUUUUUAUUAUUUAGCUCACACCUUUUCUUUGUUUAAAAUGUAUUUUGCCGUGCAAGUGUUACAUUUACACAACUUAAGCCCUGAAGAAAUGUUAAACUAUUUGUCUUGUCAGGAGAGAAUGUAAGAAAUGUCAAGAACCAUUUCACUGAUAAUGCUGAGAGCCUCUGAUUAUUUUUGUGAGUUCUCUUUUGGUUCUCUCGUCAUUCCUGAAAUAAUAUAUUUGAGCUAAAUUCAAAAUGUAACUAGUUUACUCCCAUUUCACCACUUUAGCUAUUUAUCAUUUAUGUGCCUUGAGUGUUUUGUCUAUAUAGAAUUAGAGAAGACAAAUUAUGUUUUUGACACCUUAAUGACAUGGUGUACUUAUUGCAUUAUUAUGACUUGGCAAAUGGACAUUUUGUUGAAAAUUAUAAAAGCACAAAGUGCAUUAUC
Molecule: long non-coding RNA, 1243 nt
Organism: Clupea harengus (Atlantic herring)
Lineage: Eukaryota; Metazoa; Chordata; Actinopteri; Clupeiformes; Clupeidae
Source: Ensembl